This 448-nucleotide ribosomal RNA is filed under the name uncultured bacterium. RNAcentral's name for it is "bacterial SSU rRNA". It matches the Rfam family "Bacterial small subunit ribosomal RNA", at positions 330 to 793 of the family's 1533-position model. The record is from RNAcentral.
GCCAGACUCCUACGGGAGGCAGCAGUGGGGGAUAUUGCACAAUGGGGGGAACCCUGAUGCAGCGACGCCGCGUGGGUGAAGGAGCGUUUCGGCGCGUAAAGCCCUAUCGGCAGGGAAGGAGGAGGACGGUACCCGACUAAGAAGCCCCGGCUAACUACGUGCCAGCAGCCGCGGUAAUACGUAGGGGGCAAGCGUUAUCCGGAUUUACUGGGUGUAAAGGGGGCGCAGACGGCAGCGCAAGCCAGGAGUGAAAGCCCGGGGCCCAACCCCGGGACUGCUCUUGGAACUGCGCGGCUGGAGUGCAGGAGGGGCAGGCGGAAUUCCUGGUGUAGCGGUGAAAUGCGUAGAUAUCAGGAGGAACACCGGUGGCGAAGGCGGCCUGCUGGACUGCAACUGACGUUGAGGCCCGAAAGCGUGGGGAGCAAACAGGAUUAGAUACCCCCGUAUG